UGCAAGUCGAGUGCGCAGUCUAGCUGUAGCAAUACAGCAGAUCGGCGCACGGCGCACGGGUGCGUAACACGUGGGUAACCUGCCCUCCAAAGGGGGAUAACCCGCCGAAAGGCGGGCUAAUACCGCAUGACAUUCCGGUGGCUUCGGCCGCCGGAAUCAAAGCCCGCAAGGGCGUUGGAGGAGGGGCCCGCGGCCGAUUAGCUUGUUGGCGAGGUAACGGCUCACCAAGGCUUUGAUCGGUAGCCGGUCUGAGAGGAUGGCCGGCCACACUGGAACUGAGACACGGUCCAGACUCCUACGGGAGGCAGCAGUGGGGAAUCUUGCGCAAUGGGCGAAAGCCUGACGCAGCGACGCCGCGUGGGGGAUGAAGCUUCUCGGAGUGUAAACCCCUUUCGACCGGGACGAAACACCCGCAAGGGUUUGACGGUACCGGUAUAAGAAGCCCCGGCUAACUACGUGCCAGCAGCCGCGGUAAGACGUAGGGGGCCAGCGUUGCUCGGAAUUACUGGGCGUAAAGGGUUCGUAGGCGGUGCGGUAAGUCGGAAGUGAAAUCUCUGGGCUUAACUCAGAGGCUGCUUUCGAAACUGCCGUGCUAGAGUGCGGGAGAGGCGAGUGGAAUUACAGGUGUAGCGGUGAAAUGCGUAGAUAUCUGUAGGAACACCCGUGGCGAAGGCGGCUCGCUGGACCGCAACUGACGCUGAGGAACGAAAGCUAGGGGAGCAAACAGGAUUAGAUACCCUGGUAGUCCUAGCCCUAAACCAUCAGGACUUGGGGUGGCCCGCGUUGGCGGGUCGUCCCGGAGCUAACGCGUUAAGUCCUGCGCCUGGGGAGUACGGUCGCAAGGCUGAAACUCAAAGGAAUUGACGGGGGGCCCGCACAAGCGGUGGAACAUGUGGUUCAA
This 901-nucleotide ribosomal RNA is filed under the name uncultured soil bacterium. Its description in RNAcentral is "bacterial SSU rRNA". It matches the Rfam family "Bacterial small subunit ribosomal RNA", at positions 56 to 949 of the family's 1533-position model. The record is from RNAcentral.